GUUAUGCGGUCUGUUCUAAGCUAAACAGCUCGAGGUGGUAGAGUCCUCAGCUAUCAAUAGCUGGGCUGUCUAUUUUCAUUUCCUGAAUAUUGUUGGAGGGCCCACGGUGUGUCAUUCACUUUGCUAGGCACCAAGGGCACAGUGCACAGAACACCCCUCCUGGUUCUCAGAAGGCUGCCAGUUUAGCCAGGAAGGCUGAAGGAAGAUAGACUGUUGCAAUUCAGCAUGCAGCAUGGCCACAUAGAGUGUGCGCCUGUGUGUGUGUCUGUGGUGAGAGAAAAUGAAGAAUUCCUAGCAUCACUCAUGAUGAUGAUGAUGACGACGACGACGGCAGCGGCGGUGACAACGACGACGACGACGACGACGACAACGAUGAUGCAGUUGAAUCAAAGACUAUAAAUGCUUCCACGAAACCUUGUGACUUAACUGCCCCCAACCCCUUUUUGAGACCCAUGGUCCUGUGGUAUAGACUGGCCUUGAGCUCUCUGAGUAGCCAAGGUUGACCUUGUACUUCAAUCUGCCUCUGCUGUCUGAGUGCUGGGAUUACAUUUAUACACCACCAUGCUUAGUUUUAUGCAAUUUGGGGAGUCAAACAAACACCUGGCUGAGUGUGUGCCAGUUCCUCUGCUGAAUUUGCCACAUCUCGAGCCCCCUAUUUUGUGAUAUCACUAGAAAUGUAUUUAGGGCUUUGUAUUUCCCAGCCUUUGUUAUCCCAGUGUUGAGAUCCUUGGAGUUUUUUGUUUAUUUGCUUGCUUGGUUUUGUGAUUUAGAAGGUGUCUCAUGUGACCUCAAACUUAGAAUUCACCAAAGUAAUUAAUCCUUUAUAGAGAGCAGUGGCUUAGCUUAGUGGUCAUUUCUCCCUGUGUUUCUCAUAUAAAAACUCCUAGAUCUGUA
This is a long non-coding RNA of Apodemus sylvaticus (European woodmouse), 894 nucleotides long. RefSeq lists it as uncharacterized. The record is from RefSeq and is a predicted model, not a curated record. Lineage: Eukaryota; Metazoa; Chordata; Mammalia; Rodentia; Muridae. The transcript has 2 exons.